UGGUCUCCUGGAAGAUUCAGAUGAAUUGGCUAGGUGGUUCCUCUUCUUGUUUUGUUUUGUAAAUAUGUUGUGUAUCUUGUCUCUUAGAGUUGUGUUCUGAUAAGAGAGAAAAGAAAAGAGACAAGAUGAAAAAAAAUUGAGAAAAAUGAGAAAAAAAUUUGUGAAUAAUGGAGUCAAGAAGAGGAUUGAAUUAGAGGUUUUGGGUGUGAUUUGAAUGUGUUUACACUUGUUCCCCAUUGCUCCUCUAUUUCUUUUGGUUUGUAGCUUCUUAUCCAUAUUUAUCCUCCCUUUUUCCUUGACCCCAUUGCAUCCAUAAAAGACCUUUUGAUUU
Molecule: long non-coding RNA, 331 nt
Filed under: Vigna radiata
Lineage: Eukaryota; Viridiplantae; Streptophyta; Magnoliopsida; Fabales; Fabaceae
Description: long non-coding RNA (VRAD_LNC012604)
Source: RNAcentral